RNAcentral lists this ribosomal RNA (494 nucleotides) under uncultured bacterium. RNAcentral describes it as "bacterial SSU rRNA". It matches the Rfam family "Bacterial small subunit ribosomal RNA", at positions 30 to 526 of the family's 1533-position model. The record is from RNAcentral.
AUUGAACGCUGGCGGCAGGCCUAACACAUGCAAGUCGAGCGAGAAAGGUCUUCGGACUGAGUACAGCGGCGGACGGGUGAGUAAAGCGUAGGAAUCUACCUGGUAGUGGGGGAUAACUUGGGGAAACUCAAACUAAUACCGCAUACGCCCUACGGGGAAAGCGGGGGACCUUCGGGCCUCGCGCUAUCAGAUGAGCCUGCGUAGGAUUAGCUAGUUGGUGAGGUAAAGGCUCACCAAGGCGACGAUCCUUAGCUGGUCUGAGAGGAUGAUCAGCCACACUGGGACUGAGACACGGACCAGACUCCUACGGGAGGCAGCAGUAAGGAAUAUUGGUCAAUGGAGGCAACUCUGAACCAGCCAUGCCGCGUGCAGGAUGACGGCCCUAUGGGUUGUAAACUGCUUUUAUACAAGAGAAAACCCGAGUACGUGUACUCGGUUGAUAGUAUUGUAAGAAUAAGCAUCGGCUAACUUCGUGCCAGCAGCCGCGGUAAAGU